This 556-nucleotide long non-coding RNA is filed under the name Homo sapiens (human). RNAcentral describes it as "HSALNT0138593". Lineage: Eukaryota; Metazoa; Chordata; Mammalia; Primates; Hominidae. The record is from RNAcentral.
GCUCCUGAGUGGUGGUGCCAGGAUUAUUUUCCUGGAGAAAGAGCUGCGGAGAUAACUAGGAGCGCAGAUAAGAUCUGACUUUCCUCGCGGCACCUGCAGCCCCGCUCGCUCGGGGGCCGUCCCUAGCCCCAAGUGACCCGGCUUUCCUGGGUUUGAGGGUAAAGCCGGGUCCGUGGCAACCUUAACCCUUGCUUCUCACGGGGGCGCUCUUCAUACCCUUCUUUCUUUCCUUUGCCUAUCAACUUACCAGCUGGAAAACUAUGCCAAGUUACCCCUUGGCGAGGCCGCAGGGUGAACACUUAGACCUGUACCCACUUCCAGGGCUCGGUAAAGACAAUGAACUUGAAUAAUAACACUGAGCCUUACAUAUUUCUGACCCCAGUGCUCCUUCACAGGCACGAAAUAGAGACAGCUGGCACGGUUACAGGGGCUUUCAGGAAAACAAAGUAGCUUAAAACACCUUUUAGAAACGAACGCAGGCCGUGACAAGUCUAUUUAAAGCUGGGACUCCUGAGUUUCUAUAGACCAAGAAGGAUGGCUGUUGAGGAAGUUCCAA